This 523-nucleotide ribosomal RNA is filed under the name Fusarium oxysporum. Its description in RNAcentral is "eukaryotic LSU rRNA". The stretch from base 190 to 343 matches the Rfam family "5.8S ribosomal RNA". The record is from RNAcentral. Lineage: Eukaryota; Fungi; Ascomycota; Sordariomycetes; Hypocreales; Nectriaceae.
CGAACAAGGUCUCCGUUGGUGAACCAGCGGAGGGAUCAUUACCGAGUUUACAACUCCCAAACCCCUGUGAACAUACCACUUGUUGCCUCGGCGGAUCAGCCCGCUCCCGGUAAAACGGGACGGCCCGCCAGAGGACCCCUAAACUCUGUUUCUAUAUGUAACUUCUGAGUAAAACCAUAAAUAAAUCAAAACUUUCAACAACGGAUCUCUUGGUUCUGGCAUCGAUGAAGAACGCAGCAAAAUGCGAUAAGUAAUGUGAAUUGCAGAAUUCAGUGAAUCAUCGAAUCUUUGAACGCACAUUGCGCCCGCCAGUAUUCUGGCGGGCAUGCCUGUUCGAGCGUCAUUUCAACCCUCAAGCACAGCUUGGUGUUGGGACUCGCGUUAAUUCGCGUUCCUCAAAUUGAUUGGCGGUCACGUCGAGCUUCCAUAGCGUAGUAGUAAAACCCUCGUUACUGGUAAUCGUCGCGGCCACGCCGUUAAACCCCAACUUCUGAAUGUGACCUCGGAUCAGUAGGAUGCAGUC